GCAGUAGCCACGGGAAUACGAAGGGUGCAAGCGUUACUCGGAAUUACUGGGCGUAAAGCGUGCGUAGGUGGUGGUUUAAGUCCGUUGUGAAAGCCCUGGGCUCAACCUGGGAAUUGCAGUGGAUACUGGGUCACUAGAGUGUGGUAGAGGAUAGUGGAAUUUCCGGUGUAGCAGUGAAAUGCGUAGAGAUCGGAAGGAACAUCUGUGGCGAAGGCGACUAUCUGGGCCAACACUGACACUGAGGCACGAAAGCGUGGGGAGCAAACAGGAUUAGAUACCCGCGUAGUCCCUGUCUCUUAUAC
RNAcentral lists this ribosomal RNA (302 nucleotides) under uncultured bacterium. Its description in RNAcentral is "partial 16S ribosomal RNA". It matches the Rfam family "Bacterial small subunit ribosomal RNA", at positions 508 to 807 of the family's 1533-position model. The record is from RNAcentral.